CCUACGGGAGGCAGCAGUAGGGAAUCUUCCGCAAUGGACGAAAGUCUGACGGAGCAACGCCGCGUGAGUGAUGAAGGCUUUCGGGUCGUAAAACUCUGUUGUUAGGGAAGAACAAGUGCUAGUUGAAUAAGCUGGCACCUUGACGGUACCUAACCAGAAAGCCACGGCUAACUACGUGCCAGCAGCCGCGGUAAUACGUAGGUGGCAAGCGUUAUCCGGAAUUAUUGGGCGUAAAGCGCGCGCAGGUGGUUUCUUAAGUCUGAUGUGAAAGCCCACGGCUCAACCGUGGAGGGUCAUUGGAAACUGGGAGACUUGAGUGCAGAAGAGGAAAGUGGAAUUCCAUGUGUAGCGGUGAAAUGCGUAGAGAUAUGGAGGAACACCAGUGGCGAAGGCGACUUUCUGGUCUGUAACUGACACUGAGGCGCGAAAGCGUGGGAAGCAAACAGGAUUAGAUACCCUGGUAGUCCACGCCGUAAACGAUGAGUGCUAAGUGUUAGAGGGUUUCCGCCCUUUAGUGCUGAAGUUAACGCAUUAAGCACUCCGCCUGGGGAGUACGGCCGCAAGGCUGAAACUCAAAGGAAUUGACGGA
Molecule: ribosomal RNA, 589 nt
Filed under: uncultured bacterium
Lineage: Bacteria
Description: bacterial SSU rRNA
Rfam family: Bacterial small subunit ribosomal RNA
Source: RNAcentral